This 110-nucleotide non-coding RNA is filed under the name unclassified sequences. RNAcentral describes it as "DUF3800-I RNA". It matches the Rfam family "DUF3800-I RNA". Rfam says of the family: Actinobacteria, Firmicutes, Fusobacteria, Proteobacteria (1 example), Tenericutes (2 examples). Terminator (Clostridia) The record is from Rfam by way of RNAcentral.
UAUAAUUGCAGGUAGAGAUACGCUGUAUACUCAUGAUAUCGAAUUUGCGUUUAAGCGAUAUGUAAUAUCGUCGAUCAUGAGGCCACCUCAUUGAGGUGGCUUUUUUACUU